This 463-nucleotide ribosomal RNA is filed under the name uncultured bacterium. RNAcentral describes it as "partial 16S ribosomal RNA". It matches the Rfam family "Bacterial small subunit ribosomal RNA", at positions 28 to 507 of the family's 1533-position model. The record is from RNAcentral.
GACGAACGCUGGCGGCGUGCUUAACACAUGCAAGUCGAGCGGUAAGGCCCUUCGGGGUACACGAGCGGCGAACGGGUGAGUAACACGUGAGUAAUCUGCCCAUCACUUCGGGAUAACUCCGGGAAACCGGUGCGAAUACCGAAUAUGACCACUUCAGGCAUCUGAUGGUGGUGGAAAGUUCCGGCGGUGAUGGAUGGGCUCGCUGCUUAUCAGCUUGUUGGUGGGGUAGUGGCCUACCAAGGCUUCGACGGGUAGCCGGCCUGAGAGGGUGACCGGCCACACUGGGACUGAGACACGGCCCAGACUCCUACGGGAGGCAGCAGUGGGGAAUAUUGGACAAUGGGCGAAAGCCUGAUCCAGCAACGCCGCGUGAGGGAUGACGGCCUUCGGGUUGUAAACCUCUUUCAGCAGGGACGAAGCGCAAGUGACGGUACCUGCAGAAGAAGCACCGGCCAACUACGUG